RNAcentral lists this ribosomal RNA (445 nucleotides) under uncultured bacterium. RNAcentral describes it as "bacterial SSU rRNA". It matches the Rfam family "Bacterial small subunit ribosomal RNA", at positions 28 to 502 of the family's 1533-position model. The record is from RNAcentral.
GAUGAACGCUGGCGGCGUGCCUAACACAUGCAAGUCGAGCGAUCUUCUUCGGAAGAGAGCGGCGGACGGGUGAGUAACGCGUGGGUAACCUGCCCUGUACACACGGAUAACAUACCGAAAGGUAUGCUAAUACGAGAUAAUAUGCUUUUGUCGCAUGGUAGAAGUAUCAAAGCUCCGGCGGUACAGGAUGGACCCGCGUCUGAUUAGCUAGUUGGUAAGGUAACGGCUUACCAAGGCGACGAUCAGUAGCCGACCUGAGAGGGUGAUCGGCCACAUUGGAACUGAGACACGGUCCAAACUCCUACGGGAGGCAGCAGUGGGAAUAUUGCACAAUGGGCGAAAGCCUGAUGCAGCAACGCCGCGUGAGCGAUGAAGGCCUCGGUCGUAAAGACUCUGUCCUCAAGGAAGAUAAUGACGGUACUUGAGGAGGAAGACCCGGCGUAAC